This is a long non-coding RNA of Cebus imitator (Panamanian white-faced capuchin), 974 nucleotides long. RefSeq lists it as uncharacterized. The record is from RefSeq and is a predicted model, not a curated record. The transcript is spliced from 3 exons. NCBI's taxonomy places the organism in Eukaryota, Metazoa, Chordata, Mammalia, Primates, Cebidae.
UUUCCGCCCCGCCCCGCGCCGCCUCUCCGGUUUGUGCGCCUGGUGCAGGUCUCCGGCCUCUUUGUCCGCUGGAGUUGCGCGGGCGGACGCGCCACUACUUUGUAGCAGAUCUCAGGUGGGCCACAUGUGCGGCGGUAGGAACCCAACCCCGGCCGACCUUGAGCUCCAGGAGUUCGUCUCUCCUACGUCUGCGGAAGUGCGGCGGCCUCAUAAAUAGCAAAGGUUGACAACUACAGGUACAAGCCAUUGAAGCUAGGAUGUCCUGAUGCUGGUAUUUCAAUUGAUUUAGACCAACUAUCCCUUCAGUUACAAUACGAAAAUGCCUCUAAUAGGAGUACUAAGUUGUAGCAACCACGUGUCCAUGCAGUGCCACAGGAGCUAGAGCAGGGACAAGGCUGGUGGCAACAGGGUGUUUCAUGCUCAUCUUUUAAUUUAAUUCUCAUAAUUCGGAGGUUGAUUUUGUUCUCCCAUUUCACAUGUAAAGAAAUGGAUUGGGGUAAAUCAAGUUUCAUAAAAUGUGAGUAUUUCCGAAUAAGAGGCGUCACGUGACUUCUGGAAAGUCACUUGUCUCUUGAGAUUUGGUGUCUUGGUGUAACAGUUAAAAGAAUUUAAGCAAACUAGGAAAGGACCACGGUAGAGCAGUUAAGAAUAUAAGCUCUUCGUAUUCAUUGCAUUGAACCUAAGAAGGUUCACAAAAUUGGGCACAAAAGAGAGUAUGUGUCAGCAUAUUAUGUUUGUGUGUGUGUGUGUGUGUAGCAUAAGGAAGUGUAAGGGGAUUUAAAAGGACACAGUGGUGCUACGUUCUUAGAAUAUGAAAGUUUUGGAGGUGAUGAAAAGUUUUCAUGUGGGAGGAAACAGUCAAGCAAGUUCACUCCUAUUAACCAGUCUGCUGCCUGUCUAGCAAUUGAGGUCUCAUUACUCUGUCAGAAGUGACUCAUUCUCCAGAACUUCUAAAUAAAAGUAUUUAAUAUUUA